Molecule: ribosomal RNA, 446 nt
Filed under: uncultured Coriobacteriaceae bacterium
Lineage: Bacteria; Bacillati; Actinomycetota; Coriobacteriia; Coriobacteriales; Coriobacteriaceae
Description: bacterial SSU rRNA
Rfam family: Bacterial small subunit ribosomal RNA
Source: RNAcentral
CCUACGGGAGGCAGCAGUGGGGAAUCUUGCGCAAUGGGCGGAAGCCUGACGCAGCGACGCCGCGUGCGGGAGGAAGGCCCUCGGGUCGUAAACCGCUUUCAGCAGGGACGAGGCCGCGAGGUGACGGUACCUGCAGAAGAAGCCCCGGCUAACUACGUGCCAGCAGCCGCGGUAAUACGUAGGGGGCGAGCGUUAUCCGGAUUCAUUGGGCGUAAAGCGCUCGUAGGCGGCCUGCCAGGUCGGGAGUCAAAUGCGGGGGCCCAACCCCCGGCCGCUCCCGAUACCGGCGGGCUUGAGGUUGGUAGGGGAAGGCGGAACUCCCGGUGUAGCGGUGGAAUGCGCAGAUAUCGGGAGGAACACCGGUGGCGAAGGCGGCCUUCUGGGCCACGACUGACGCUGAGGAGCGAAAGCUGGGGGAGCGAACAGGAUUAGAUACCCCUGUAGUC